GAUGAACGCUGGCGGCGUGCCUAAUACAUGCAAGUCGAGCGAACAGACGAGGAGCUUGCUCCUCUGACGUUAGCGGCGGACGGGUGAGUAACACGUGGAUAACCUACCUAUAAGACUGGGAUAACUUCGGGAAACCGGAGCUAAUACCGGAUAAUAUAUUGAACCGCAUGGUUCAAUAGUGAAAGACGGUUUUGCUGUCACUUAUAGAUGGAUCCGCGCCGCAUUAGCUAGUUGGUAAGGUAACGGCUUACCAAGGCAACGAUGCGUAGCCGACCUGAGAGGGUGAUCGGCGACACUGGAACUGAGACACGGUCCAGACUCCUACGGGAGGCAGCAGUAGGGAAUCUUCCGCAAUGGGCGGAAGCCUGACGGAGCAGCGCCACGUGAGUGAUGAAGGUCUUCGGAUCGUAAAACUCUGUUAUUAGGGAAGAACAAAUGUGUAAGUAACUAUGCACGUCUUGACGGUACCUAAUCAGAAAGCCCCGGCUAACUACGUG
This 497-nucleotide ribosomal RNA is filed under the name uncultured bacterium. RNAcentral describes it as "partial 16S ribosomal RNA". It matches the Rfam family "Bacterial small subunit ribosomal RNA", at positions 28 to 507 of the family's 1533-position model. The record is from RNAcentral.